CCUCUCUGACAGCUGAGUCUAAAAGACCAGAAAGAAUAGAGGUAGAAUAACAGGAAACAUGUUACCGUAGCAAACGAGGAAAUUCACAUGUAUGCAGGCUAUGAUGGAAACCACCGUAUUCUUACAGCCUACAAAAUAAACAGAGAAGAGGUCCUCUCUUGCUCUCUUCCCAGGGCCAUCAUUCCCCUGGCUCCAUUCAUUCCCCUCUGACUUCUCUUCACGGGCAUUUGUCAGUAUGAUUCUCACAAACUACUCCUUGUUGACGGAAACUCCAUUUUCCAUACCCAAGAAAACAUUCUCCAAGGUUAAAGGACCGUCAUAUGGAUCUUCCUAGUGUUUUACAACCUGAAAUCUGAUUGUUCAACAUCUGCCCUUUUAUAUCUUUUAACUGUUCUCGUUAAUAUAUACCCAGAGUAAAAAUAAUCCAAACAAGACAGAAAAGGACAAGAGAAUAAGAAUCAUCUGAAACCCACCAUUCAUAAAUGACCGCUUUUAAUGUUUUGAUGGACAUCCUUCCAUAAAUACACAUAGUAGAUUAGCCCUGAGCUAACUACUGCCAGUCCUCCUCUUUUUUGCUGAGGAAGUUUGGACCUGAGCUAACAUCGUGCCCAUCUUCCUCUACUUCAUAUGUGGGACGCCUACCACAGCAUGGUGUGCCAAGCAGUGCCAUGUCCACACCUGGGAUCCGAACUGGCGAACCCCGGGCCGCUGAGAAGCGGAACGUGUGAACUUAACCGCUGCGCCACCAGAUAAAGAAAGGCCCGAGAGGUGAAAUGAUUUGCCUCAAGUCUCAGAGCCAGGAUUCCAGCCAUCCUGACUCUAAGCCUGCUGCUGUUGGCACUCCACUGUACCAGCCUCUUUCUUCUAAUUAAGGGUGCUAGGUCUCAGUACUCUUUUUCAAAUCUCCA
This 908-nucleotide long non-coding RNA is filed under the name Equus asinus (donkey). RNAcentral describes it as "lncRNA (ENSEASG00005033408.1)". The record is from RNAcentral. Lineage: Eukaryota; Metazoa; Chordata; Mammalia; Perissodactyla; Equidae.